Rosa chinensis is the source of this 1194-nucleotide long non-coding RNA. RefSeq lists it as uncharacterized. The transcript is spliced from 3 exons. The record is from RefSeq and is a predicted model, not a curated record. NCBI's taxonomy places the organism in Eukaryota, Viridiplantae, Streptophyta, Magnoliopsida, Rosales, Rosaceae.
ACUGAUUCUGCAAUUCUGGUAAAGUUAAUCUCUGAGAGUGAUGUUAUUCUUCACCCCAUGGGCUCUCUUAUUUGCUGCUGCAAAAAUCUGAUUAGAAAUUUUCAAUGCUUCUCCAUAAGGCACAUUUACAGAGAAUGUAACAUGGUUGCUGCCUUGCUAAGCAGAGCAUCAAUCAUGCUUAUGGGAUAAUCGAGUUUGAUAGCCCUCCUAUCCAUGCCUCACUUGCUUAUCUUGAUGAUCUUGAUGGAGUUACUUGGCAACGACGAAUCUCUGUUAGGCCUGAUAAUAGGCCAAGAUAGCUUGUUUCUUUAGUCUGUUUUGUUUUUCUGGGUCUUUUUGACCCCUUGCUUACCAAAAAAAAGAACAGAGCUCCAACCCGCAGUUGACCAGCGGCAGAGGGCGCUUGGGUUCACGCUUACAAGACCCCUUAAUUCCUCAUUCUCACCCUCACCAGGUCAUAAAAAGCAUGGAGAAGCAAGGACUGAGAGAUCAAACCUUAUGCUGCCUUGUUAGGAGCUCAAAGCGGCGGGAUCCACAUGCACCUCACCCACUUUACAAUUACACCUCUCGGCGUGUGUUCUUGAGCCUAUCAGCGGUUUCGGCGUGGCUAAAGUUUUGGAAUCUGGGGAUGCAAAGUUAAGCAAGGCGACUUGGUUUGGGGAAAGACUGGCUGGGAAGAGUAUAGUCUCAUCACUUCCAUUCAGUAUUUGUUUUAGAUUCCCACCACCGACUUGGUGGCACUGAUAUGCCCUCCCCUCUCCCUGCUGCCCCUAUUAUUUCAGUUGCUAUUACUGCUACUACCACUUUUUAAUUCUUCUUCUGCAAAAUUGCCUCUGCUUGAAACAAAAAGUUUGCAUUAUCUUUUUAUGUCACUGAUUGUAUUGGCUUCUUCUUAUUCAUGCUGAAUGGUGAGAUUAGUGUCAAACCCUUAUUUGUUUGAACAAAGAUAUUUUACAUUUUGAUUUCUAUGAUUGCGGCGUUUGUUAAUUGUCACAUUCUGUCCAAAACUGAUGUUCCAAACUCCAAUUGCUUUUCAAAUUUAGUAGUGUGGUCUUGCAGUAAGAAAUUUAUUCAGCAUCAAAUAAUCUUGAUGACACUGGUAAUGCAGUAACUUAACUGCCUUUUAGCAUUGUUCUCUACUUAAAUGAGUUGGAGUAAUCCAUCGUAAUUAAUUCAACCACUUUUGAUCUUUCA